RNAcentral lists this ribosomal RNA (465 nucleotides) under uncultured bacterium. RNAcentral's name for it is "partial 16S ribosomal RNA". It matches the Rfam family "Bacterial small subunit ribosomal RNA", at positions 28 to 507 of the family's 1533-position model. The record is from RNAcentral.
GACGAACGCUGGCGGCGUGCUUAACACAUGCAAGUCGAACGGAAAGGCCCUGCUUGCAGGGUACUCGAGUGGCGAACGGGUGAGUAACACGUGGGUGAUCUGCCCUGCACUUCGGGAUAAGCCUGGGAAACUGGGUCUAAUACCGGAUAGGUGCCAUUUUUAGUGUGAUGGUUGGAAAGUUUUUUCGGUGUAGGAUGAGCUCGCGGCCUAUCAGCUUGUUGGUGGGGUAAUUGCCUACCAAGGCGGCGACGGGUAGCCGGCCUGAGAGGGUGGACGGCCACAUUGGGACUGAGAUACGGCCCAGACUACUACGGGAGGAAGCAGUGGGGAAUAUUGCACAAUGGGCGCAAGACUGAUGAAGCGACGACGCGUGGGGGAUGACGGACUUUGGGUUGUAAACUACUUUCGCUAGGGACGAAGCUUUUUGUGACGGUACCUAGAUAAGAAGCACCGGCUAACUACGUG